This 413-nucleotide unclassified non-coding RNA is filed under the name soil metagenome. RNAcentral's name for it is "partial contains 5.8S ribosomal RNA, internal transcribed spacer 2, and large subunit ribosomal RNA". The stretch from base 1 to 120 matches the Rfam family "5.8S ribosomal RNA", at positions 35 to 154 of the family's 154-position model. The record is from RNAcentral.
GAUGAAGAACGUAGCGAAAUGCGAUAAGUAAUGUGAAUUGCAGAAUUCAGUGAAUCAUCGAAUCUUUGAACGCACCUUGCGCUCUUUGGUAUUCCGAAGAGCAUGCCUGUUUGAGUGUCAUGAAAAUAUCAACCUUGACUUGGGUUUUGUGCUCUAGUCUCGGCUUGGAAUUGGGUGCUUGCCGCUUUUACGAGCGGCUCACCUUAAAUGUAUUAGCUGGAUCUGUCUUUGAGACUUGGUUUGACUUGGCGUAAUAAGUAUUUCGCUAAGGACAUUCUUCGGAGUGGCCUCGUUUCUAGGACGCUUAUCCGCUUUCCAAUACAAGUUCCACCUCGUGGACAUGACUUUUUAUUAUCUGGCCUCAAAUCAGGUAGGACUACCCGCUGAACUUAAGCAUAUCAAUAAGCGGAGGA